Long non-coding RNA from Acinonyx jubatus (cheetah), 4428 nucleotides. RefSeq lists it as uncharacterized. The transcript has 3 exons. Lineage: Eukaryota; Metazoa; Chordata; Mammalia; Carnivora; Felidae. The record is from RefSeq and is a predicted model, not a curated record.
CUGACGAGAGAUGAAAAAUUGGAAAACAUUGUAUUCUAUCCUCAAGGAACUUAAAAAAGUCUAGACAAGUAGUCGAAACUGAUAUAAAUUAAACAAUUGACUAUAUGAUGAUUUUAUAGUUAAUUUUAUUAUUUAAUGUAUUACUUAUUAAUAAUACUUAAAGUUAUUUACAGAGAAAUUUUCUUUAUGGCAUUUAUACUAAUGAAAAAAAAGAAAAUACAGAACGAUUUUUUAAUAAAUGAUAGCAAAAACAAAAUAGAGAAUUUUAAAUGCCUUACAGCAGAGAAUUGGCUAAAUAAUUUGUGGUUCAUAUGUAAAAUGGAGUACCACAGAUUCAUCAAAAAUUAUGUUGAAAAAGGAUGUAUAUUGGCAUUUUAGUGUUUUGUUAGUACAUUUUAAAAACAACUUGCAAAACAUUAUGAUUCCAGAAGUGGAAAAACUAAGCCUGAAUAGAAAAAAGUCUGGAAGGAUAUACAUAGUGUUAAAGUGGUUUUCUCAAGAUGAAGAGCUUAUGAGUGGUUUUUCUUUGUGCCUAACUGGUUUUUAAAAACUUUUUCUCUUAAUAUAAAUGUAUUAGUUCUCUAAUAAAGAAAGCCAAUAAAAGUUAUAAAAUUCAAGACAUGUGUAAUUAAAUUCUAAUAAGAACUUAAGUGUUGUAGGUGUUAAGAGGGGAAAAAAAAAUUUAUGAGGGCUUGAGCAGCCAGGAAAGGUUUCACAGAGAAGGUGGAAUUUGAGUUGAAUGUCAAGGCUAGGAAGGAUCAGAGAGGAGAAAAUGUGGUGGGCCAUUCAACACAACUUUGCUCAAAGAAACUUGAAGAAAUUUUGCUGUAGACAGAAGUAAUCUGACAAUUUUAGAAUUAGUGUGAAAAGAAAGUCUUGAUGAUUUUAUUCUAACAAAAAUGAAGUUGAAAUUGAAUUGUUUUUCUCAUCCCACCUAAUGAUUUUUUGAGGGGCACAGAAUUGAGUUCACUAGCUCUAUAGCAAUUUCCUCCUACAAUAUAUGACCCUACUUACCAUUUCUAAUCUAUUAAAAAAAACCCACCUGUUUAUGUGAUAGAAUUACACAAGGGCAUCCAACCUGAACACUGGUAACAGUCCUGUCCCCACGGGUAUGCAUCAGGCACAGUGCCUCUGUGAGUGGCAGAGGGGCCUCAUCCGUCUCUUCUUUUUCCCAAGAUGCUUCCUACAUAGAUCUCCCACUGCACCACACACUGAGAAGCUCAGUUCAGUGUGUUUCAGGUGGUAGGUGUGUGUGGAAACCCAAUGACUCAUGCUUAGACUUGAUUCAGGCCUUUGGUGAUCUUGCAGACGGAUGAAAACAUGGAGGCGUGCUGUGUUCCAGUUUCACUUCAUCACCCUCUGGAUUUACAGCUCUGCCCAGUUCUGUCGUCAUUGCAGGCAAGAUCCUCUUGUAUGAUAGGAACCAGUAACAGUCACCAGACCAGAAUUUGAGCACACACAUCCUUAAGGCCACCAGUGAAAAGACUAUAGGGUCACAUAGCUCAUACCAUUUCAAGGAUUCAUUGUCUAACUGCAGGUAAUGUAUGAUCAUUUUAUAUACUGCCACAUAUUCAUUAUUCAUACAAUUUUCUAUUAAUUUUUAAUGCAUCCAAGUUCCUAGUUAUUUAACAUAUAAUGCAAUCAGCCAGACAUCUUCAUAAAGCUAUGAAAAGUGGCUCUGAGGUACUCUUCCGUAGCAUCUCAAUCUAUUAACCAGCUGAUGAGACAGUACUGCUCUUAACCAUGGGCAAGAUCCCUGCCUUGGGUCACCACACCACAGAAGUCCUCAUGAUUUGGAUGGCGUUACUUGAAGUCCCCAGCUGCAAUGCUAUUUGGGUUUCAGUGUCCAAGUCAGAUCUCAUUUCUCCCCUUUAGGGCAAUGUGCUUCUCUCUAGCCAGCCUAUGAGGUUGACCAGAUAUCUACAGGAGCUCCAGAAUUCAUGCUUAUGUAUUUUCUUGAAGCCAAAGUGGGGCCUAAUUUAGGAGAGCAGCUUGGUCAGCAUUUGUUCCCACUGACCCUGGGCAGCAAGUUAUUUCUUUUGUAAUAUUGCAUGACAUUGGACCACUAGAAUGGUGCUGACAUGCUGAUUUGGAGUAACUCUCCUUCACAGGGGAUGAAGAAGAUACGAAUGUUCACAUCAGGCAAUAAACACCAUUAUUUUAAAUCUUCAUCAGUAACAUGGGUUCAUUUUCCAAUAAAAUUAUUGAUACACAUACGGACCUGCGAAAUACAUUUGCCUAGGGCUCACACUCCCCAGGGAUAGCCUUAUCCUAGGGAACCACUGUAGGUUCUUGAACAAGGACUGAUGUGGACUGAGUAUUUAGAAAAGGAGAUGCUGGUGCUGGCGAAGAGCAGGGAGAGGGCUAUGGUGUCCGCAAGGCUAAGAGGAGUCAGUGCAGAGAAGUGAAAGCACUCUGAUUAAGUACUUCAUUUCCCUUAGGAGUCUCCUAGCUCUAUUUGUUUGGGAUUCUAAUGUGGCCUGAGGCAAUAAGGGCCUUGAUGUGAUGCUGCUGGAACCUACAGUGGAAAGAAGUGAAGAAAUAUUUUAAUGUAAUGCCAGCGCAGGUAAAAAUGAUAGUGUGUGUGUAACUAUGUGUCAGGUGUCAUUCUGAGCACUUUGCACACUUGGGCUUUUUCAGUCCUCAUGUCAAUCUUUAUUAUUCACAUUCUCCAGAUGAGGAAACAGAAUUAGAGAAAGUUGAAUAACUGGCCAAGGUGACAUGCUACUGUUAUUGGCAAAUUGUAGAGGAUCUGAAGAUGUGGGAGGGAUCACGGGUUUCUCCAUGUGUUCAAGGCUGGAGGUCAGGGAACACAAUUUGGAUGGUUUUGUGGUUAGUUUCCUUGCUUUGUUUUGUUUUCUCACUGGUUAUGGGAGUGAGGGCAUUGGGACAAUGAGUGUCUAAGUAUCUGUGAUAGUGAGUCACCAGCAUAGAAAUGUCCUGCAGAGAUUUGGAAAUACCCCCAGAGAUCAGAUGAGAGGUUGGCCUGGAGAUUGUGGAUGUGGAAUCAUCAGAGAUGAGGGGUACAGUUAUGUGAAUGGGAGAGGUGACUAACCUCCAGGAUACAGUGGGCAGAAUUUCUUAAGAGAACCAGCUUGGGAGGGAGAGCUCUGUGGGCAAGACUCCAGCAUCAACUCAGCAACUAAAAUCCCCAGCCACUUUUGAAGAACUGUUCUAUUAUAUAGUUUGGUCAGCAGCUCAGCUCCAUAUUUUCACCCACCACAAUGUUCAGAUCAAUACUCUUGGUCCUCAUGAUUUACUGAACCUGAAUUUCUCUAACUGCUCCAUUAACUCUUUGGAAAGGUUUCUCCCUUUGUUAGCACUGGAUCAUGAUUUUCCAUAAAAUUUGCCCUUGAGCAAGCAAUUCUCUCAUCAUUCUCGCUAGGGAAAUUGUCUUGCUCCUGCCCCACCCCCCCAACUCUCCAGCCUUCUUCGCUUUCUUUAGAACUUUGUUUCAUGAACCUGCAUUUUGCCUGCUAAUUAGUGUUUUUGAAUAUACACUUGCUAUUGAGCUUGGAAUCUAUGGGGGUUUCUCUGAAACCAGUUUGUGACUUCCAAAUUCUUUGUGUCAGUUAAUAUUUCCCUAACUUGGUUAUUAACUUUGGAUCUUAUUGUUUCUAUGUUUUGGUGCUAACGGGCUUGGCGCCAUGGCCCCAGUCUCUGCGUACCCUGUCCUGUGUUCACGUUCAUACUGUUGUUUCCCUUCAUCCUGGGCACGCAGGGGUCUGGUGGCCAAACAGCCCAUAAUAAAAGGUGAAUUCACUCACAGUGUGCCCCUUUGUUCCAGAGAAUAUUUUGCCCCUCUGAUCCUCAGCUUCAGCAUCAUGGAAAAGCAUUUGUCAAGCCCCUAAUUGCCAGAGUGCUGCACUAAGCACUCCACAAAGAGUUCCACCACCACGGUAGGGCCAAGUGUGACAGAGUCAGGUGUGGGUGUAGGAGGAAAUUGCUAUGGCUGUGGCCCUUGGACACAGUCUUGCAAUUUGACAGAAAAAAAUGAUGUCUUCCCAGGUAUGCCCAGCAAUGCUGAGAUACCUGACUUGGGCUGGGGGCAUGGAAGCAGCAGUAUAUAUGCCGCGGUGGGGAUGGUGUAGAGAGAUACCCCAGAAAAGAGGAAGGGGGAGCAAGCUGUUUUUUCCUCAGGAAGCCUGAAGGGUAAGCCCCUGAGAGGAAUCUACAGCAUCAGCAAGUGGCACCCUCCUCAACAGUUUGCCAGGGAGGGGACAAACAUCAAAGUCCCUACAAGUCAUAGCAUUUGGACAAGUGUUGGCCUAUUGGAGCCGAUAAUCCAUCUGGGGAGGACACAAACACAUAAAUAAGAGUAUAACACAGAAUCACAUAAAAGGCACAAACAAAUAAAGAAGUGACACACAUGAAGAGCAAGGGAUGUUUUGUGUAUGGAGGGGGAGAGGGGUGCUGAAGCCAUACAAU